CCUACGGGAGGCAGCAGUGGGGAAUAUUGGACAAUGGGGGCAACCCUGAUCCAGCCAUGCCGCGUGUGUGAAGAAGGCUUUCGGGUUGUAAGGCACUUUCAGUAGACAGGAAGGCUUACCGCUAAUAACGGUGAGUACUUGACGUUACCUACAGAAGAAGCACCGGCUAAUUUCGUGCCAGCAGCCGCGGUAAU
Molecule: ribosomal RNA, 194 nt
Filed under: uncultured bacterium
Lineage: Bacteria
Description: partial 16S ribosomal RNA
Rfam family: Bacterial small subunit ribosomal RNA
Source: RNAcentral